This is a long non-coding RNA of Perca flavescens (yellow perch), 274 nucleotides long. RefSeq lists it as uncharacterized. The transcript is spliced from 3 exons. The record is from RefSeq and is a predicted model, not a curated record. Lineage: Eukaryota; Metazoa; Chordata; Actinopteri; Perciformes; Percidae.
GGACAGCACCUCUUGCUCUGACGAGGUGGAGUUCCAAGAGUCCGGUUCCUCUGCAGUGGAGGAGGAGAUGCAGGAUAUGAAGGACGAAGCGGACUUCAUCUGUGAAAUUGAAAGUGCCGAUCAAGGAGAAGAGACGGAGGAGGAUGACGAGAAGAAAGAGAAAAAACAGCAUCAGGGGGAUAAGAGGAAGGCCUCCAGGAGGAGCAUGGAGAUUACACCAAGCAAGAGGCUGCGCUCCCCUGGGGUGACUUGGGACGUGAAGGUUACCCUGAGC